This 697-nucleotide ribosomal RNA is filed under the name Salmonella enterica subsp. enterica serovar Gatuni. Its description in RNAcentral is "partial 23S ribosomal RNA". It matches the Rfam family "Bacterial large subunit ribosomal RNA", at positions 492 to 1190 of the family's 2925-position model. Lineage: Bacteria; Pseudomonadati; Pseudomonadota; Gammaproteobacteria; Enterobacterales; Enterobacteriaceae. The record is from RNAcentral.
GAACCAGUACCGUGAGGGAAAGGCGAAAAGAACCCCGGCGAGGGGAGUGAAAAAGAACCUGAAACCGUGUACGUACAAGCAGUGGGAGCACCCUUUGGGGUGUGACUGCGUACCUUUUGUAUAAUGGGUCAGCGACUUAUAUUCUGUAGCAAGGUUAACCGUAUAGGGGAGCCGGAGGGAAACCGAGUCUUAACCGGGCGUUAAGUUGCAGGGUAUAGACCCGAAACCCGGUGAUCUAGCCAUGGGCAGGUUGAAGGUUGGGUAACACUAACUGGAGGACCGAACCGACUAAUGUUGAAAAAUUAGCGGAUGACCUGUGGCUGGGGGUGAAAGGCCAAUCAAACCGGGAGAUAGCUGGUUCUCCCCGAAAGCUAUUUAGGUAGCGCCUCGUGAAUUCAUCUCCGGGGGUAGAGCACUGUUUCGGCUAGGGGGCCAUCCCGGCUUACCAACCCGAUGCAAACUGCGAAUACCGGAGAAUGUUAUCACGGGAGACACACGGCGGGUGCUAACGUCCGUCGUGAAGAGGGAAACAACCCAGACCGCCAGCUAAGGUCCCAAAGUCAUGGUUAAGUGGGAAACGAUGUGGGAAGGCCCAGACAGCCAGGAUGUUGGCUUAGAAGCAGCCAUCAUUUAAAGAAAGCGUAAUAGCUCACUGGUCGAGUCGGCCUGCGCGGAAGAUGUAACGGGGCUAAACCAU